This 429-nucleotide ribosomal RNA is filed under the name Gemmatimonadota bacterium. RNAcentral's name for it is "Gemmatimonadetes bacterium partial 16S ribosomal RNA". It matches the Rfam family "Bacterial small subunit ribosomal RNA", at positions 355 to 776 of the family's 1533-position model. The record is from RNAcentral. Lineage: Bacteria; Pseudomonadati; Gemmatimonadota.
UAGGGAAUCUUCGGCAAUGGACGAAAGUCUGACCGAGCAACGCCGCGUGAGUGAAGAAGGCUUUCGGAUCGUAAAACUCUGUUGUUAGAGAAGAACAAGGACGUUAGUAACUGAACGUCCCCUGACGGUAUCUAACCAGAAAGCCACGGCUAACUACGUGCCAGCAGCCGCGGUAAUACGUAGGUGGCAAGCGUUGUCCGGAUUUAUUGGGCGUAAAGCGAGCGCAGGCGGUUUCUUAAGUCUGCUGUGAAAGCCCCCGGCUCAACCGGGGAGGGUCAUUGGAAACUGGGGGACUUGAGUGCAGAAGGGGGGGGUGGAAUUCCAUGUGUAGCGGUGAAAUGCGUAGAUAUAUGGAGGAACACCAGUGGCGAAGGCGGCUCUCUGGUCUGUAACUGACACUGAGGCUCGAAAGCGUGGGGAGCAAACAGG